GACGAACGCUGGCGGCGUGCUUAACACAUGCAAGUCGAACGGAAAGGCCCUGCUUUUGUGGGGUGCUCGAGUGGCGAACGGGUGAGUAACACGUGAGUAACCUGCCCUUGACUUUGGGAUAACGUCAGGAAACUGGGGCUAAUACCGGAUAGGAGCUCCUGCUGCAUGGUGGGGGUUGGAAAGUUUCGGCGGUUGGGGAUGGACUCGCGGCUUAUCAGCUUGUUGGUGGGGUAGUGGCUUACCAAGGCUUUGACGGGUAGCCGGCCUGAGAGGGUGACCGGCCACAUUGGGACUGAGCUACGGCCCAGACUCCUACGGGAGGCAGCAGUGGGGAAUAUUGCACAAUGGGCGGAGGCCUGAUGCAGCAACGCCGCGUGCGGGAUGACGGCCUUCGGGUUGUAAACCGCUUUCGCCUGUGACGAAGCGUGAGUGACGGUAAUGGGUAAAGAAGCACCGGCUAACUACGUG
This 468-nucleotide ribosomal RNA is filed under the name uncultured bacterium. Its description in RNAcentral is "partial 16S ribosomal RNA". It matches the Rfam family "Bacterial small subunit ribosomal RNA", at positions 28 to 507 of the family's 1533-position model. The record is from RNAcentral.